CUAAAGUAACACUCAUAUUCUCAUUUACACAUAAGAGUGAUCAAAAGAGACACAGAAAUAAAAAUACUUCGCUUUUAUCUAAUUUUUUUUUUCCGUUCUAAACUUUUUUUUUUCUAUUUUUUUUUCUUUCAAAUCAUAUGAUGAUGAUUGAUGAUCAAUGAUGGAUUCAGCUGAAGCUGUCUGAAAAUCAAAAUCUGCCUCAUCUCCAAGAAUCUCCGUCUGAGAAUCUCUUGUUCCGACAAAAGCUGAUUGUUGUCCGUACACAUUAAUGCGAUGUUGUACAAAACAAUUCGAAGCCGGUUUGCGAGUUCCCGGUUUUCUAAACCGAGACGAUUUGCUUCGUCUUUUAAAUUAUCAAUGUGUCUUUGUUUACGCAUCCUCGACCGCUUCGCUGAUUCUCGGUUUGAUUCCAUCCGUUUGCGUUUACGGUCGUCAGUCACCUGCAAAACCGACCGGUUCAAUUUGUUCCGGUUAUGAUUCGUGGCGUUACUUCGGAUUUUCGUGUUUUUUGAGUCCAAUUCGUCGGAUUGAGGACUCGGUACGCCGUGGAAAAGGUUGGAAUCAUCAGAACCGGAGUUAGUUUUGAUGGAACCGAUACACGAUUCGUCAAAACCGUUAAAAUCGGUGUUAAUUUUGACAGAACCGGCAUCGGAUUCACCAGAACAAGGACUCGGUACGACCGGUUCGAGAUGGAUUGUAGAGAAGAGAUCGGAGCAGUUCAAUUCCCAAGGAGUGAAUCCGGUCUGGAAAUCCGAUAAUUGGUUAACCAAACCCGGUUCAGUAAAGGUAAAGGCCGGUACAGUAGACAUCAUAAUGACCGGUUUAAAAUUGUUUAAUUAGAGAGAAGAGAGAGAAG
This is a long non-coding RNA of Arabidopsis thaliana (thale cress), 856 nucleotides long. RefSeq annotates it as other RNA. Lineage: Eukaryota; Viridiplantae; Streptophyta; Magnoliopsida; Brassicales; Brassicaceae. The transcript has a single exon. The record is from RefSeq.